UACAGAGGGUGCGAGCGUUGUCCGGAAUCACUGGGCGUAAAGGGCGCGUAGGCGGCCUGAUAAGUAGGGGGUGAAAUCUUGCGGCUCAACCGCAAGGCUGCCUUCUAAACUGUCAGGCUGGAGCACGGUAGAGGCAGAUGGAAUUCCCGGUGUAGCGGUGAAAUGCGCAGAUAUCGGGAAGAACACCCGUGGCGAAGGCGGUUCUCUGGGACGGUACUGACGCUGAGACGCGAAAGCGUGGGGAGCGAACAGG
This 253-nucleotide ribosomal RNA is filed under the name uncultured bacterium. Its description in RNAcentral is "partial 16S ribosomal RNA". It matches the Rfam family "Bacterial small subunit ribosomal RNA", at positions 524 to 776 of the family's 1533-position model. The record is from RNAcentral.